RNAcentral lists this unclassified non-coding RNA (307 nucleotides) under Chaetospermum chaetosporum. Its description in RNAcentral is "sequence contains 5.8S rRNA gene". The stretch from base 1 to 53 matches the Rfam family "5.8S ribosomal RNA", at positions 102 to 154 of the family's 154-position model. The record is from RNAcentral. Lineage: Eukaryota; Fungi; Basidiomycota; Agaricomycetes; Sebacinales; Sebacinaceae.
GAACGCACCUUGCACCCUUUGGUAUUCCGAAGGGUAUGCCCGUUUGAGUGUCAUUGUAAUCUCACACCCCUAGAUUUAUUCGACGGGCGGUGGACUUGGAUGCUGCCGCGUUAAGCGGCUCGUCUUAAAUGCAUUAGUGCAACUUUCGGUUGGACAUAGUGCAGCGUGAUAAGUAUCUUCGCUGGCUCUCCUCACGGAGGUGUUCGAACGUUAAGCUCUGUGCUUCUAAUCGUCCCCUGGUGGACUAAGCUUCGGCUUACUUGACAACUUGACCUCAAAUCGGGUAGGACUACCCGCUGAACUUAAG